UUGAACGCUGGCGGCGGGCCUAACACAUGCAAGUCGAGCGCGAAAGGUUUUCGGACUGAGUAAAGCGGCGGACGGGUGAGUAACGCGUGGGAAUCUGCCCAGUAGUGGGGGACAACAGUCGGAAACGACUGCUAAUACCGCAUACGCCCUACGGGGGAAAGGGGGGGAUCUUCGGACCUCUCGCUAUUGGAUGAGCCCGCGUCGGAUUAGCUAGUUGGUAGGGUAAAGGCCUACCAAGGCUACGAUCCGUAACUGGUCUGAGAGGAUGAACAGUCACACUGGAACUGAGACACGGUCCAGACUCCUACGGGAGGCAGCAGUGGGGAAUAUUGGACAAUGGGGGCAACCCUGAUCCAGCCAUGCCGCGUGUGUGAAGAAGGCCUUAGGGUUGUAAAGCACUUUCAGUGGGGAGAAAGGUUUGUCACCUAAUACGUGAUGAAAUUGAUGUUACCCACAGAAGAAGCACCGGCUAACUCCGUGCCAGCAGCCGCCGUAA
RNAcentral lists this ribosomal RNA (496 nucleotides) under uncultured bacterium. Its description in RNAcentral is "partial 16S ribosomal RNA". It matches the Rfam family "Bacterial small subunit ribosomal RNA", at positions 30 to 523 of the family's 1533-position model. The record is from RNAcentral.